Myxocyprinus asiaticus (Chinese sucker) is the source of this 992-nucleotide long non-coding RNA. RefSeq lists it as uncharacterized. The record is from RefSeq and is a predicted model, not a curated record. NCBI's taxonomy places the organism in Eukaryota, Metazoa, Chordata, Actinopteri, Cypriniformes, Catostomidae. The transcript is spliced from 3 exons.
GGGACGCGAGCGAGCAUGACUCCAUUGGGAAGCGAGACUGACCGUGAUUCACCAGCAUCAUGAUCACAGAUGAGUGGAAAGAUGUUCUUUAUUUCCGCUGCCACAGAAGUUGAAGUCCGCUGUCUGGGAUUAAAAGACCCACGAGGACCAUCAUUGUUGAUGGUUACCCAGUCUGUAAAGUUUGCCGCAAAAAAGUAUCGGCUGAGGCGGGAAACACUUCAAACCUUAAGCACCAUCUCCGUGAGCACCAUCCCACGGAAUUUGCGGAGAUGACUAUGCUGUCCAUAUUGCACAUGGAACAUUCCUUUUCAUGGAGACCAUUAAGUUUAAUGGAUGAAAUCUGGACCAUUACGUUUGGAUGGAAAAAAAUAAAAAACAGGACGGGAAGGAAAGGGAAUAGUUUGAGGUAUCAAAUGAUGUAUUUAUUUGCACUUAAAAUUCUAUAAAUAAUAAACAUUCAUAUUAACAAAAUUUAUUAUUAUUAAUAUUCAUAAUAAUUCAUAUUAUUUAUUAUAAUUAAUAAUACAUAUUUUAAUAUUCUGAUAGCCUAUUCUAAGUUCAUUUUUACACCUCAAAAAAUGUAGAUGAUUCUCAGUGUAAACAACAUAGGUUUCUGAGAAUGUAAGUAGUCACUUAGCUGUCACUUUUAUGCAAAGAGAAAAACAAUAUCCCUGAAGUAAUGUGAGGCUAAGUGUGUUAAUCAACAGCACAAUGAUGAUAGUUCAUGGAUGACCAUUAAGUUUAAUGGAUGAAAUCUGGACCAUUACGUUUGGAUGGAAAAAAAUAAAAAACAGGACGGGAAGGAAAGGGAAUAGUUUGAGGUAUCAAAUGAUGUAUUUAUUUGCACUUAAAAUUCUAUUAAUAAUAAACAUUCAUAUUAACAAAAUUUAUUAUUAUUAAUAUUCAUAAUAAUUCAUAUUAUUUAUUAUAAUGAUAGCCUGAGAAAAUGAAAAUUCUCUCCUCAUUUACUCGUGUAUGACUUUCUUUCAUCU